ACUGUUGGGGGCCAUCUUGCUUUCCUAACAGAAAAGCCCAGCUGAGAAUGACACCAGCACAGAGGAAAGUAAGCAAGGCCACGAGGUCGGGAAAGAUGAUUGCUACUGAUGUCAUCAAGCACCCAGACCGUUGGCUACAUGAGAAUGGAGACCCCUGCUGGCUUGAGCCACCGCUGUGCCCUGGUGUCUGGAACCAGCCUGGCAUAAGAGGGCCUCAGUGAAUGUGCCCCGGAAACCACAAGUAAGGCGCCUGUCACAAUUGUCCCUCCUCCUGGGGUUUCUUCACGUGGCCCUGCACGGUGUGGCGUGCCCCUUUCUCCUGGGAACCGUGAGUAACAAACUCUUCUCAAAGGCAUCGUCUCCUGAUCUGUAGGCCUUACUGAACCUCAGAUUUUCUCUAGAUACACUUUAUUUGAAAGCAGCACUACCAGACCCUUUGCAGACAAUUAAGAGUAACAAACAAAUGGACUGUAUACGUUGUCAUGACAUCUUCAGCAAAGUUAAUGUUAUUAGAAGUCCUUCCCCCCAUAAAAUGGCAGGUUCCGUAAGAGCGGAGGGCGUAUAGGAAAUGACCCUGAGCAGACCAGGCACCUGCGAAGUCCUCGGUAUCUGUCUCCCCAGACUGAGAGCUCAGGCCCAGUCGUCCCCAAGUCCCGGGCUCCACCUUCCUACCGUGCUUGCUGUUUGGUCGGUUUGUCAAAUUCAGCUUUUAAGCUUGUCAGCUUCGCAGGGAACUUGUCAGCUCCAAACUCAUCUUUCGAGCAAUAAUCAAGUUACACCGUGCGCGAGA
Molecule: long non-coding RNA, 790 nt
Organism: Leopardus geoffroyi (Geoffroy's cat)
Lineage: Eukaryota; Metazoa; Chordata; Mammalia; Carnivora; Felidae
Exons: 3
Source: RefSeq, a predicted model, not a curated record